GCCGGACCCACCGCCAGCCCCGCUUACUCAUCCUACCAGCCUACUCCCACAGCGGGCUACCAGAACGUGGCCUCCCAGGCCCCACAGAGCCUCCCGGCCAUCUCUCAGCCUCCGCAGUCCAGCACCAUGGGCUACAUGGGGAGCCAGUCAGUCUCCAUGGGCUACCAGCCUUACAACAUGCAGAAUCUCAUGACCACCCUCCCAAGCCAGGAUGCGUCUCUGCCACCCCAGCAGCCCUACAUCGCGGGGCAGCAGCCCAUGUACCAGCAGAUGGCACCCUCUGGCGGUCCCCCCCAGCAGCAGCCCCCCGUGGCCCAGCAACCGCAGGCACAGGGGCCGCCGGCACAGGGCAGCGAGGCCCAGCUCAUUUCAUUCGACUGACCCAGGCCAUGCUCACGUCCGGAGUAACACUACAUACAGUUCACCUGAAACGCCUCGUCUCUAACUGCCGUCGUCCUGCCUCCCUGUCCUCUACUGCCGGUAGUGUCCCUUCUCUGCGAGUGAGGGGGGGCCUUCACCCCAAGCCCACCUCCCUUGUCCUCAGCCUACUGCAGUCCCUGAGUUAGUCUCUGCUUUCUUUCCCCAGGGCUGGGCCAUGGGGAGGGAAGGACUUUCUCCCAGGGGAAGCCCCCAGCCCUGUGGGUCAUGGUCUGUGAGAGGUGGCAGGAAUGGGGACCCUCACCCCCCAAGCAGCCUGUGCCCUCUGGCCGCACUGUGAGCUGGCUGUGGUGUCUGGGUGUGGCCUGGGGCUCCCUCUGCAGGGGCCUCUCUCGGCAGCCACAGCCAAGGGUGGAGGCUUCAGGUCUCCAGCUUCUCUGCUUCUCAGCUGCCAUCUCCAGUGCCCCAGAAUGGUACAGCGAUAAUAAAAUGUAUUUCAGAA
RNAcentral lists this long non-coding RNA (880 nucleotides) under Homo sapiens (human). RNAcentral describes it as "long non-coding RNA NONHSAT175753.1". Lineage: Eukaryota; Metazoa; Chordata; Mammalia; Primates; Hominidae. The record is from RNAcentral.